AGAGUUUGAUCCUGGCUCAGAUUGAACGCUGGCGGCAUGCCUAACACAUGCAAGUCGAGCGGCAGCGCGGGGAAGCUUGCUUCCCUGGCGGCGAGCGGCGGACGGGUGAGUAACGCGUGGGAAUCUACCCUUCGGUGGGGGAUAGCCCGGGGAAACUCGGAUUAAUACCGCAUACGCCCUACGGGGGAAAGUGGGCCUCUGAUGCAAGCUCACGCCGAAGGAUGAGCCCGCGUCCGAUUAGCUGGUUGGUGGGGUAAAGGCCUACCAAGGCGACGAUCGGUAGCUGGUUUGAGAGGAUGAUCAGCCACACUGGGACUGAGACACGGCCCAGACUCCUACGGGAGGCAGCAGUGGGGAAUAUUGGACAAUGGGCGAAAGCCUGAUCCAGCAAUGCCGCGUGUGUGAAGAAGGCCUGCGGGUUGUAAAGCACUUUCAUCGGGGAGGAAAAGCGUCGGGUUAAUACCCUGGCGUCUUGACGUUACCCGAAGAAGAAGCGCCGGCAAACUUCGUGCCAGCAGCCGCGGUAAUACGAAGGGCGCAAGCGUUAAUCGGAAUCACUGGGCGUAAAGGGCGCGUAGGCGGCCAGGUAAGUCGGGUGUGAAAGCCCUGGGCUCAACCUAGGAAUUGCAUCCGAUACUGCUUGGCUAGAGUUCGGUAGAGGGUAGUGGAAUUCCCGGUGUAGCGGUGAAAUGCG
RNAcentral lists this ribosomal RNA (694 nucleotides) under uncultured bacterium. RNAcentral describes it as "bacterial SSU rRNA". It matches the Rfam family "Bacterial small subunit ribosomal RNA", at positions 8 to 690 of the family's 1533-position model. The record is from RNAcentral.